CCCCGCAAGGGGAGCGGCAGACGGGUGAGUAACACGUGGGAAUCUACCCAUCCCUGCGGAACAACUCCGGGAAACUGGAGCUAAUACCGCAUACGCCCUUAGGGGGAAAGAUUUAUCGGGGAUGGAUGAGCCCGCGUUGGAUUAGCUAGUUGGUGGGGUAAAGGCCUACCAAGGCGACGAUCCAUAGCUGGUCUGAGAGGAUGAUCAGCCACAUUGGGACUGAGACACGGCCCAAACUCCUACGGGAGGCAGCAGUGGGGAAUAUUGGACAAUGGGCGCAAGCCUGAUCCAGCCAUGCCGCGUGAGUGAUGAAGGCCUUAGGGUUGUAAAGCUCUUUCACCGAUGAAGAUAAUGACGGUAGUCGGAGAAGAAGCCCCGGCUAACUUCGUGCCAGCAGCCGCGGUAAUACGAAGGGGGCUAGCGUUGUUCGGAAUUACUGGGCGUAAAGCGCACGUAGGCGGAUAUUUAAGUCAGGGGUGAAAUCCCGCAGCUCAACUGCGGAACUGCCUUUGAUACUGGGUAUCUUGAGUAUGGAAGAGGUUAGUGGAAUUGCGAGUGUAGAGGUGAAAUUCGUAGAUAUUCGCAGGAACACCAGUGGCGAAGGCGGCUAACUGGUCCAUAACUGACGCUGAGGUGCGAAAGCGUGGGGA
Molecule: ribosomal RNA, 650 nt
Filed under: Rhizobium sp. 125(2013)
Lineage: Bacteria; Pseudomonadati; Pseudomonadota; Alphaproteobacteria; Hyphomicrobiales; Rhizobiaceae
Description: bacterial SSU rRNA
Rfam family: Bacterial small subunit ribosomal RNA
Source: RNAcentral